AGAACUAGAAAAACAAGGGAGAAAUAGAUAGCAAUAAAAUAAUCAUGGUGGUUUUCAAUAUCUCACGUUCAUCAAUGGACAGAUAAAUCAGAAAAUUUGUAGGUAAAUAAUGAUAUUGAAAAGUACUUAAGAGAAGAAUGGACCCAGCGGACAUACAGAUCUUUACAUCUAGCAGCAGUAGAAUACACAUUCUUCUUUUCCUGCACGUGGAACAUUCCCUGGGAUAGAAUAUAUCAGGCCACAAAACUAAUCUUAACAUAGCUUAGAAGUUCUAAAUCAUAUCAAGUAUCAUUUUUGUCACAGUGAAACUAGAAAUCAAUAAUAGAAGAAAUUUUUAGAAAUUCACAAAUAUAUAAAUUAAACAUUUUUGAAUAACCAAUUGAUCAAAAAAGAAGUCAAAAUAAAAUUUAAAACUGUCUUGAGACAAAUGACAAUAGAAACACAACAUACACAACAUAUGAUGCAGCAAAAGCAGUUCAAAGAGAAAAUUUAUAGCAGUAAAUACCUACAUUAGAAAAGAAGACAGAUGCUGGGUGUGGUGGUGCACUCCUGUAAUCCCAGCAGCCUGGGAGGCUGAGUUCAAAGCCUCAGUAAUGACAAGGCCCUAAGCAACCCAGUGAGAUCUUGUCUCUAAAUACAAAGUAGGGCUGGGAAUGUGGCUUAGUGUUCGAGUGCCCCUGAAUUCAAUUCCCAGUACAGAAGGAGAAGGAGAAGGGGAAGAAGAAAGACUACCAAUAAGAGAAUAGUAAUAAAUCAGAGAACAAAAAAGCCACAGGGGGAAAGAAAAUCAAUGACAUUAAGAGUUGCUUUGAAAAAUACAAACAGAUCAACAAAACUACCUAGAUAAAGAAAAAAUUAGAAUAUUCAAACAUAAAAUAGGGAAUCAAAAUGGAGGCAUUACAAAGAAGCUCCAGAAACAAAAAGGAUUGUACAGGACUAUUAUGAACAAUUGUUUGCCAACUAACUUGCUAAUCCAGUGGGUUGUGUGUAUAUUUUUAGAAAAUUUAUUGAAUCAGGAAGAAAUAACCUGAAUAGGCCAAUAAUGAACAAAGAGAUUCAAGAAUGUUUUAGUCAGCUUUCUUCACACUGUAUACAAAAGAUCUGACAAGAACAAUUUUAAAGGGGGAAAAGUUUUAUUUGGUGCUCACAGUUUCAGAGGUCUCAGUCCACAGAUAGCUGACUCCAUUCCUCAGGGUUAGAGGUGAGGCAGGACAUCAUAGUGGAAGAGUGUGGUGGAGGAAACUGGCUCAGAACAUCACACCAAAGGAGGGAGAGGGAGAGGAAGAAGGGUGGGGAGAAGUAUGAGCUCAUGCUCUCUCCUUUCCACAGACAAAAUAUAAAUUCCAAAGGCAUGCCCCGAUGACCCACCUCCUCCAUCCACACCCUACCUGCCUACAGUUACCACCCAGUUAAUCCCUAUCAGGACAUUAAUGCAUUGAUUAGGUUAAGGCAAUCAUACCCUGAUUGAUUUACUUCUAAACUUUCUUAUGUUGUCUUAAACAUGAACUUUUGGGAGACAUCUAGUAUCUAACCAUAUUAAAGAGGUACUGAAAAACCUCCCAACAAAGAAUAUAGUUCAGGACCAAAUGCUUCAAUCCUGAAUUCUACCAAGUUUUCAAAGAAGAAUUAAAAUACCUCUUACACUCUUAAAAAAA
This 1655-nucleotide long non-coding RNA is filed under the name Marmota monax (woodchuck). The record is from RNAcentral. Lineage: Eukaryota; Metazoa; Chordata; Mammalia; Rodentia; Sciuridae.